RNAcentral lists this ribosomal RNA (468 nucleotides) under uncultured bacterium. Its description in RNAcentral is "partial 16S ribosomal RNA". It matches the Rfam family "Bacterial small subunit ribosomal RNA", at positions 28 to 507 of the family's 1533-position model. The record is from RNAcentral.
GACGAACGCUGGCGGCGUGCUUAACACGUGCAAGUCGAACGGAAAGGCCCUGCUUUUGUGGGGUGCUCGAGUGGCGAACGGGUGAGUAACACGUGAGUAACCUGCCCUUGACUUUGGGAUAACUUCAGGAAACUGGGGCUAAUACCGGAUAGGAGCUCCUGCUGCAUGGUGGGGGUUGGAAAGUUUCGGCGGUUGGGGAUGGACUCGCGGCUUAUCAGCUUGUUGGUGGGGUAGUGGCUUACCAAGGCUUUGACGGGUAGCCGGCCUGAGAGGGUGACCGGCCACAUUGGGACUGAGAUACGGCCCAGACUCCUACGGGAGGCAGCAGUGGGGAAUAUUGCACAAUGGGCGGAAGCCUGAUGCAGCAACGCCGCGUGCGGGAUGACGGCCUUCGGGUUGUAAACCGCUUUCGCCUGUGACGAAGCGGGAGUGACGGUAAUGGGUAAAGAAGCACCGGCUAACUACGUG